GAUCGAACGGCGUGGCGGCGUGCCUAACACAUGCAAGUCGAGCGGAGAAAGUCCCGAAAAGGAUUCUUCGGAAGAUUUAAGGGAUGGAUAGCGGCGGACGGGUGAGUAACGCGUGGGCAACCUGCCCCUCACUGAGGGAUAGCCGAGGGAAACUUCGAGUAAUACCUCAUAACGCAUAACCGUUGCAUAGCGGAUAUGCCAAAGAUUUAUCGGUGAGGGAUGGGGCCCGCGUCUGAUUAGCCAGUUGGUGAGGUAGCGGCUCACCAAAGCGACGAUCAGUAGCCGGCCUGAGAGGGCGGACGGCCACAUUGGAACUGAGACACGGUCCAG
This 330-nucleotide ribosomal RNA is filed under the name uncultured bacterium. Its description in RNAcentral is "bacterial SSU rRNA". It matches the Rfam family "Bacterial small subunit ribosomal RNA", at positions 37 to 334 of the family's 1533-position model. The record is from RNAcentral.